Molecule: long non-coding RNA, 1485 nt
Filed under: Oryza brachyantha (malo sina)
Lineage: Eukaryota; Viridiplantae; Streptophyta; Magnoliopsida; Poales; Poaceae
Description: long non-coding RNA (OBRA_LNC002308)
Source: RNAcentral
CCAUCAAUAGCUCAAGUAUUUUUAAUUCAAUAUUGAAUGAUAAUGUAUUGAUUACAUGUACAUAUCACAUCCGAUCAUAAUAAUCCAUUUUCGAGCCAACUCCGUACCGACUCCACACUAUUUCCAAUAUUUACAACAAUCCGCAUCCGAAAACAUCUGCACCCACUCUGCAUCCGCUUAAAAAUAUGGUUUAGGAUAUGAUAUGACAACUGUCCGUCCAAAUCCGAUCCGCUAACACCCCUAGUGUUUGGUUGCCUAUACAAAAAGUAGGCUAAGAAGAGAUUUUGUUUGGUUGAUUGUAUGUAUAGUAUGUAUGGGUACCUAUAUUUUUUUGGUUGAGAUGAUCAAUUUAUGAAUUAAUAUUAGUAAUAUAGAUAAAUUAAAUAAUUUCACGCACUAAAUUAACCUAUUUUUAAAGUAUCAUUGAGCUAAUAACAUUCUUGUAAAUUCUUCCAAUUUUAAGGAAAACUGAAAACAAAUAUCAGAGUCACAAUAGAUCACAUCGUCUUUAGAAAAAAUAAUUAACAAUCACGUGGUGAUUAUCUCUCCAGAGCAACCGGUUAGGGAAAGGAUAGAAAAAGGGAUAAUCUCUUGCAUGCACCUCAAAUUUUGGCUAAUCUCUUCUAUGCUCCUGAAUUUUCCUUACUUCCAUAUCCCUUCCGCUAGUUGACCAUCUAAUUUCAACAAAAUUGAUAAUUUUACCCAUUAGAUAAACAUAUAAAUAUAUGAAUUACAUUAUUAAAAAUGUAAAAGUUUAUCUCAUGAGACUAUUAGUAGUUAUGAAUUUGCUGUGCGAUACAUUAUUUAUGAAAAAAAAAUUCAUAGAUAAUAAAAUAAAAAAUAUGUAUUUAUUUUGUUUUUAAAAAUUCAAAAAAUAAGGACCGUUGAUGUAAAGAUAGGAUUACCAAUGUUCAUGAUAUUUUUUAAGUGUUCCCGACAAAAAAUAUAUUGUCCUAUUAAAUUUCAAAUAAAAAUUAAUCUAUUAUAUUGUUUUAUUUUAAAAUUUAUGUUAGUUUUUUUCACUAAUUAUGUUUGUCUCAUGAGUUACUUAAAAUGCACACACUAUGCACUCAAAUGAAAAUUUCAAUCGUUUUUCAAGCUUAUAUAUAUUCAAACAUAAAUCAUCGAGCGCAUUGAAGUCUUUUGUCACAAACUUAACUGUGAAAUAAAGGAAAAUCUAACAGCAGGGAUAUGGAAGGGAUCGGGUAAAUUUCAAGGAUAUAUAAGAGAUUGAGUGAGUUUGUAGCUGUAUAUAGGAAAUUUACCCUAAAAAAAAUGGCGUCAAUUUCCUCGCAUGUUGCUUCUCUCUCCUCGCCGCCGAAUCAAUCCGUUCGCGUGACGCAACAGCCCCCGCAACGCCGUCCGCUGCAGAUCUAGGGCGGCGAUGGGGAGCGGUGCAGGCGUGGCGGCUAACAACGUCGAGCGGCGGACGGGGCCGCAGCAGCCCCACGACGGUUCUCGCUUUAGAUCUAGGGCGAUGGGCCC